UGACCUACGGGAGGCUGCAGUGGGGAAUAUUGGACAAUGGGCGCAAGCCUGAUCCAGCCAUGCCGCGUGGGUGAAGAAGGCCUUCGGGUUGUAAAGCCCUUUUGUUGGGAAAGAAAACUUUCCGGUUAAUACCCGGAGAGAAUGACGGUACCCAAAGAAUAAGCACCGGCUAACUUCGUGCCAGCAGCCGCGGUAAUACGAAGGGUGCAAGCGUUACUCGGAAUUACUGGGCGUAAAGCGUGCGUAGGUGGUUCGUUAAGUCUGAUGUGAAAGCCCUGGGCUCAACCUGGGAAUUGCAUUGGAUACUGGCGGGCUAGAGUGCGGUAGAGGGUAGUGGAAUUCCUGGUGUAGCAGUGAAAUGCGUAGAGAUCAGGAGGAACAUCCGUGGCGAAGGCGACUGCCUGGACCAGCACUGACACUGAGGCACGAAAGCGUGGGGAGCAAACAGGAUUAGAUACCCCUGUAGUCC
This 469-nucleotide ribosomal RNA is filed under the name uncultured Luteimonas sp. Its description in RNAcentral is "bacterial SSU rRNA". It matches the Rfam family "Bacterial small subunit ribosomal RNA", at positions 333 to 796 of the family's 1533-position model. The record is from RNAcentral. Lineage: Bacteria; Pseudomonadati; Pseudomonadota; Gammaproteobacteria; Lysobacterales; Lysobacteraceae.